CUCGGGUAGGGGGUCCCGAACUGUGCGUCUAGGCGGAUGGUAACAGGAGACAAGGGACACGAUGUUUUUACCCAGGUUCGUGCCCUCUCGAUGGAGGUAAAACCCUACUCCUGCUUGAUUAAUAUUGAUGAUAUGGGUAGUACAAGAGUAGAUCUACCACGAGAUCAAAGAGGCUAAACCCUAGAAGCUAGCCUAUGGUAUGAUUGUUGUUCGUCCUA
RNAcentral lists this ribosomal RNA (218 nucleotides) under Triticum aestivum (bread wheat). RNAcentral's name for it is "partial small subunit ribosomal RNA". The record is from RNAcentral. Lineage: Eukaryota; Viridiplantae; Streptophyta; Magnoliopsida; Poales; Poaceae.